CACCGAGGUGGGCACAUUCAGGGCACAGGGGCCGCUGGUGGCUGCUCCCCACAUACCAGGGGCACUGCUGAAGGGGGGGGGUCAGGCAGAGAUUUUGGGGUCGAGGGGGCUGCUGACAACCCCCCCCCCGUACCCGCAGCCUCGCCGGGACAGCGGUGGCAGCCCGGAGAAGCCCCCUCCCUCCAUCCUGGAGGAUGAGGAAGGGCAGGAUGAGGUCUUCCAGCACUCGCCCACCACCCACCGCCUGCUUCUGUCCCCCCCCAGGAGCAGCCCCGCACGCCGGGGGGGGCCGGGGACCCCCUCGGUGCAGCUCCCAGGGGUGGGGGGCAGCAGGGCCAAGAAGCCCCCCAAGCUCCUCAUCCCCUCCCUGCACGCCCCCGAACCCCCCGAGCUCGGCCUCAGAGUGGUGGAUGGGAUCGAGGACGCCGGGGGGCCCUGGGAGGCCCAAAACUUCACCGCGGCCCCCCCGCCACACAGCGCACCGAGGGGCUCCCCCCCGCCAGGGUGCGGGGAGGGAGGCCCGGUGCUGGCGGCGGAGGCGGAGGAGGCGAAGGGGAGCGUCCUGAGGCUCAGCGCCGAGGUGCGGGGGGACCGGGGCUGCGGGAAUGGGGGGGGAAAUUUUAUUUUGGAUUCGUAAUUUUUUUUAAUUAUUUUUUAUUUUCAUGUUUAAUUUUUUCAAUAUUUAUUUUUUUUAUUUCUUAUUUACUAUUUUUAAUUUUUAUCCUUUGAUUUUUUUUUCUUUUAAAAUUUGUAAUCUUUAUUUUUUUUUAAUUUUUAUUUUUAAUUUCCUAAUUUUUAUUUUUAAAAUUUCAUUUUAUUUUUAUUUUAUUUUUUAAUUUCUUAUUUCAGUUUUUAUUUUAUUUUUUAUUUCAAUCCUUUA
This 880-nucleotide long non-coding RNA is filed under the name Anas platyrhynchos platyrhynchos (common mallard). RNAcentral's name for it is "lncRNA (ENSAPLG00000024096.1)". The record is from RNAcentral. Lineage: Eukaryota; Metazoa; Chordata; Aves; Anseriformes; Anatidae.